Molecule: ribosomal RNA, 465 nt
Filed under: Vreelandella stevensii
Lineage: Bacteria; Pseudomonadati; Pseudomonadota; Gammaproteobacteria; Oceanospirillales; Halomonadaceae
Description: partial 16S ribosomal RNA
Rfam family: Bacterial small subunit ribosomal RNA
Source: RNAcentral
CCUACGGGGGGCAGCAGUGGGGAAUAUUGGACAGUGGGGGCAACCCUGAUCCAGCCAUGCCGCGUGUGUGAAGAAGGCCCUCGGGUUGUAAAGCACUUUCAGUGAGGAAGAACGCCUGGUGGUUAAUACCCAUCAGGAAAGACAUCACUCACAGAAGAAGCACCGGCUAACUCCGUGCCAGCAGCCGCGGUAAUACGGAGGGUGCGAGCGUUAAUCGGAAUUACUGGGCGUAAAGCGCGCGUAGGUGGCUUGAUAAGCCGGUUGUGAAAGCCCCGGGCUCAACCUGGGAACGGCAUCCGGAACUGUCAAGCUAGAGUGCAGGAGAGGAAGGUAGAAUUCCCGGUGUAGCGGUGAAAUGCGUAGAGAUCGGGAGGAAUACCAGUGGCGAAGGCGGCCUUCUGGACUGACACUGACACUGAGGUGCGAAAGCGUGGGUAGCAAACAGGAUUAGAUACCCUAGUAGUC